GAAAGGCGACUACCCCAGAGUCCUGACUGACUUCAUGGGGAGCAGUUCCAGCAUCGCCCAGGGACUCCGUGACAACUGGUGGCAGCGGUGGGAUGUACUGCACCCCGUGGAUGGUGCUUCCUGCAGUAAGUGACUGGGGAGCAGUAACACGAAGGGGGAUUGCCGAGGACCAGGCCUGCUGAAGGCUCAGAGAGGAGCGGUUUCGGGGGGCGGUUAACCCCUGGAAGUGUGUGACCAGCGAGAAGGACUGUGCAGUAACAGGGUUCCCCUGGGGAUUGCAGCGAGCAGUCCAAGGGGCGGAGGAGUCUGCAGCUCGACCCUGGCAAAGAGGUGGUGACCUCGAGAAGGGCUGACACACUAGGGGUUCUCCCUGGAAACCGUGGGGAGCUGAGAACACACGGGCCUGUGAGUCCACAACAACUUGGGAGGAGCGGAGUGACGGCCUGUCACCGUCUCCUUAAGAAGGACAUUGUAACCCUGUGCAAAAAGAGAGGGUUGAGCAUUGGAAAGUUCACCAAAGCAGAGUUAAUCGUGCAGCUGGAGGAGGAUGACCGCUCUAAGGAACAGAUUCCUGACCCCAACUGGGGCUAUAGCAGGAUCUGGGAGCAGCUGGAGUGGUAGCCAGGCAUCGCCAAGACUCCUGUCCCCGACCAGACGAGGGUCUUCACGAUCAGGUUCCCCAUCGGGGGAUCGAGACGGACGGGAUUGGAGCUGAGUCUGAGAGAGCAAGAGGACUGUGGGGGACAGCGAGAGCCCGAGAAAGAGCUGCAGAAGCAGCAGCAGCAUGAACUGGCGGUGGGGGAGCGGAGAGGCCUAGGGGACCUCCCCGGGGUGAGUGGGGAUAGAUCCCGGGGGGCCAGUUCCGCAGGGAACCUCGAGACUAAAUUGCUGCCCCUGGUUAAGGAGGGGGGGGUGUGGAUGCCCACCUCACUGCCUUUGAGCAGGCUGGCGAUUUGAACCAAGGGGACCCUGCGGAAAAGCCCCGGUGUCUAGCUCCCUUGCUGGGUCCCAAGGCCAUAGACUCCGUCAGCCAGAUGGUUGGGGAUGUGGACAGGCUCCCACUCCUGACCCCAACCUAUAUGUCUGUGUGGAGUUUCCUGGGGCCAGGCCCCUCGGACCUCCAGUGGGAGCAGAAGGUGAUGGUCAAUGGGGAGACAUUCUUGGGGUGGCCAAAGGGCAUGGGCUGCAUAAACCUUCCCACAUGCGGCCUGCGAGUGCUAUCGACCACCCCUGACCUAAGGGAGGGUGUGAAAAUGGAAGGGCCUGGUGUAACUCCUACCAAGGAAUGGGAGAGAUGCUGGGGCAUCCAUGGGAACGUUGGUGGCUUCGAACUUCCCCAGGUCACCGGCUAAAGUGACCCCGCUCAGUUCGAUCUCGAAGGGGGGAGAGAUGUGACGAAGUGGGACUAUUCUUAAUGUUUCCUCUGAAUAGUGUGGGGGUGCCUCAGUUUCCCCUAGGCAGUUCUUAAGUAUCUAGGGGGUGGGGUAAGGGUGUAUGAUCAUUGCAGAGCCCUAGAGGGCAUGUGUGUGCAGGAGUCUGGACACAGAGAAUGGCCGACACCCUGUUUCCUGGCAACUGAUGGCCUGGGCCCUUCCCCCCCUGCAAGGUGAGAGCUGAAGGGUUGGAGAACAAAGGAAUCAGGUGACCUCCUGGCCCGGGAAAGGAACAAAGCCCAGAGGAGGAGGGGCUGGAGGGGUUUUUCAGUUUGGGGCUGGCUGGGACAUGGAGUGAAGUGCAGACGUGGUUGUCUGGCUCACUGCCCCCCAAAAUGGACCCAGCUGAGGGGUCCCGUUCUCUGCACCUGCAAGCUCUGUUUUAGACCAUGUUCCUGUCGUCUAAUAAACCUUCUGUGUUA
Non-coding RNA from Caretta caretta (loggerhead turtle), 1855 nucleotides. NCBI's taxonomy places the organism in Eukaryota, Metazoa, Chordata, Testudines, Cheloniidae. The record is from RefSeq and is a predicted model, not a curated record.